ACGCGUCAGGUGGGGACAAGAGAGAAAAAAGCAGUUCAAUCCCACGCAACUUCCUCUCUCUCGCAUCUCCUUAUCUCCGCCCGGCCGACAGCUAGGGUUCCACCGGCGCCGCCAAAGCCACCUCCACCAUACCUUCUCCUCCAGCCUAUCCCCACCGUCGCCCCAGGCUAGAAGGCGGGUACCACCGUCACGAGCAUGACCCCCUCCUUGCUGGCGGGCUCAGCAACGACUUCGUCUCCAUUUGGAACCCAUCGCCGACGCGGCUGCCGCGGCUACCAUCCGACCCGAGAGGAGCAGCUCGCAGUAGGUCUUCCUCGUCUCCAUCUCCAAGCCCCACGCGAGCGCCGGCAGUGGCACGGAGCUGGCGAAGAAGGUGACUGUGGUUGGAUCUGUCGCACGAGAGGCGGCGGCGCGAUGUGGCCUUGCAAUACUCUUAGGCAUUGGUGAAAUCCGUUCUGCAAUCUAGGAACGAGGCCAACUUCAGGAGCUGAUUGAAGCUGCACUAAAAUUAGCUACAAAGUAACAUCAAAACAAUUUGUGGGCAACCUCCUACAGGAAGAAAAUUACAGUUUGGAUGAGGAUUUGUAGUCCAUAGGAUGGUCAGGUCCUGAUAGGUUCAGAAGAUCAGGUCAUACCAUCAUGACUAUAUUCGAUUUGGAUCCUUAGGUACAUCAAAUGUGUCUAUCCAAGAGGAGCACAAUUUUAGAGGAGUAUUUCUUUAUGGUUCUGAUUCCCCACCCUCAUGUUAAUGUCUCUGUAUGAUUACCACGUUACAAGUCUUCUUUUAUAUCCAAAAGGGGGACUAGCAAUCUACAUCAAUCUUAUUGGAUUGGUUGUUCAUGCCUACAUCAAUGUACUGUUCAACAUCAAGCUUAUCGGAUCAACUGUUCAUGCCUAAAUCAACCAAACAAGUAUGGAGUUAUCUUAUGUUAUUUCAAGGUAGAACCAAGAAGAUUGUUAAAUUCUUUCCUCCUGCAUUAACAGAACACACAGAAAAUCGAAUUUACCUAAAAAAUGUAUGUUGAUUAUCUAGGCUUCUCGUGAAGGACAUUUACCUACUAUUCUACCAAUCCUUUGAAGUUAUUUCUUUUACUCGGUGGUUCUGCGGGAUAUCAAAUUAUUUUUAAUUCUAGUAUUUCUUACUUAGUAUAUGUCACCUGCAGAUUCAUCCUUCAUAAAACGUUAUUCCCAUAUAGUUAAGGAGCAGGAAAAUGCUCGGUCAGGCUGCCUAAGAACCUGAAGAAAUGGCUUAUAAAUAACUUUUUUUAUCUUGUCAUAUUAGAUUCUUAGUGCAUUAGUCCUAGAUUGCAACCUGAGUUCAUCCUAUUCCUACUUGUUGUCAUUUUCCAACAGUAAGAAGUGGCUUCUCUACAGAAAUGAGUAGCAUGUGCUCUUUGGGUGGGUGGAUUAUAUUGUUGCAGAUAUAUUACAGUUGAUGUUGGAUGCAUUUUCCAAUCCCAUUUUGUUAAAUACUUUAUACUAGCCCUUCUAUUUUUGCUCUACUGCUUUGCGAAACAAUUGAUUACUUGUGAUUAGACUCUGAUUAUGGUCUUUGCGUGUGGUUAGGCUAGGCAAAUUAAACACACACACACAUAUCAAGUUAAAAUGGAAGGUCAAAAGAGUAAAUUAGUUGCUGCCCAUAGUACUCUGCUUUGAACCCAGACAUUAUUGUAGAACUAUUGGCUAAUUAAACAUAGGAGGAUGAUACGUCUCCAACGUAUCUAUAAUUUUUGAUUGUUCCAUGCUAUUAUAUUACCCGUUUUUGAUGUUUAUGGGCUUUACUUUACACU
Molecule: long non-coding RNA, 1790 nt
Organism: Triticum dicoccoides
Lineage: Eukaryota; Viridiplantae; Streptophyta; Magnoliopsida; Poales; Poaceae
Exons: 3
Source: RefSeq, a predicted model, not a curated record